GGGCGAAACAAAAUGGAAAAAAUAUGUACAGGUUUUAAUUAGGCAACACUGAGCUAUCAAAAAAAAACCAACAACACAACAGGAAAAAAUACAACCAGCAGGAAAUCCUGGCGAGGAACAAACGGAGCUGUGAUCGACGAGCUUCACUCCACCCUCCCUUGGUGCAGGGCAGAGCGAGUGCACCCGGAUUUGCUCUAAAUCACCCCAAAUUGGCUUUAAAGAUGGGGUCCUCUCCCAUCUCUGAGCCAGCAGCACGCCAGGAAGGCAGCGCUGCUCAUCGCUCUCUGUGGCAUCAAGCAAUGAAAUCCAACGGUCUGUUGAAUCCUCCUUUUCUGUUCAUGUACUGUCUGUAUUUCCUCUUCUGGGACACGUUGAUGGCGUAUGCGUUUGCAGCACCGUCCACUUUCUUGCCUUUAGUUGUGUCAAAAGAGGCAAAGCCCAUCAUCUUCAUCAUCUCGAUUUCCUCUUCCGUCUUGCCUUGCAAAUCUUCCUCCGUGAUCUGCCGCUCUUUGCCUUUGGUGUCUUUGCUCUCCUUCUUCUCCUCGUCUCGCCUCUCCUUCAGCCGCAGAGGGGAGGAGGAACUGGAGCGGUGCCUCCGGGGGGACCUGGAUCGCCGCCGGUGCGGGGAGCGGGAGCGGGUCCUCCUCCUGUCCCUGUCCCGGGACCGCGUCCGUUCCCUCCGCCUCCUCUCCCGGUCCCGCGAAGCGGAUCGCGAGCGCCGGCGGUCGCGCCGCGGCGGCGAGCGGGACCGGCUGCGGCCCAUUGCGCCGCCCCUCCGCCCCCACUUCCGCCCGCAGCCCUCCCCACUUCCGGCGCUCAGCUCAGUAUUCCCCACCCUCCGUCCGGAAACAGCGCCGCAGCGCUUUGGUUCCCCCACCAAAACGGUCCGGGAGGAGCGAACCCCGCCGUAGCCCGGCUCGGGCAGCCCCUCUCGGCCUCCAGAAGCGAGAAGGGCUCGGGGCCGGGCCCGCUGCGUGGCUGGAGGUCCCCCUCAGCACCAUCACACACAGCCACGCCCCCACCCCACCGCAUCCCUCCAUGGACUCUGAGCUCAGUGGGGCCGAACGCGGGGUUUAUUUAUGUACAGGCAGGCGUUACACAGCGCUCCCAGCAGCGACCCACAGCCCAACCCCACGGCCACCAACGCCACGGGGCCUUCAGCCAUCCUCCAGUGCUGUGAUGGUGCCCCAAAGCCUUUUCUUCGCCUCAUCCUCCGCUCCCGGAUGGCUCCGCUGCGGCCACAGCCCUGGAAAGGGGAGCCCAAAGGCCCCCAUGGGGGCGGUGGUCUCAGGGGUGCUGAGGGCUGCGGUGGGGGCUGGGAGAGGAGAAAAAGCAGCAAGGGAAAAUGGGGGGGUUUGGGUGACCCAGCGGGGAGAGCUGAGGGUGAACCGUGGGAAGAAAGGCUGAGGGCAGCCGAAGGGAGACCUGAAUGGAGCCCUCCAGUGCCUGAAAGGACAGAGAGCGGCUUCCCACACGGCCCGAUGGCAGCAGGACGAGGGGGAAUGGCCGCGAGGCCGAGAUGAGAUGGCAGCAGGAGAUUCUUUGCUCAGAGGGCAGUGAGGCACCGCUGCUGGGAGCGCCCCGGGCUGAGGGCAGGACGUGGGGCCAGGCAGCCUUUGAGGUCCCCUCCGACUUCAUCCGCUCUGCC
Molecule: long non-coding RNA, 1648 nt
Filed under: Gallus gallus (chicken)
Lineage: Eukaryota; Metazoa; Chordata; Aves; Galliformes; Phasianidae
Source: RNAcentral